AAAGCGAAUAAGGGCGUAUGGUGGAUGCCUAGGCACUAAGAGGCGAUGAAGGACGUGGUAAGCUGCGAUAAGCUUCGGUAAGCUGCAUACAAGCGUUAUAACCGGAGAUUUCCGAAUGGGACAACCUAAUACAUUGAAGAUGUAUUACUCAGCAAUGAGAGCUAACGCAGGGAACUGAAACAUCUAAGUACCUGCAGGAAAAGAAAAUAACAAAUGAUUCCCCAAGUAGUGGCGAGCGAACAGGGAAGAGCCCAAACCGACGGGGCGUGCUCCGUCGGGGUUGUAGGACUGCAUUUAGAAAGUAUCAUCAAAACGAAUCAUCUGGAAAGAUGAGCCAAAGGAGGUGAAAGCCCUGUAGUUGGAAAUUGAUAUGGACGAGCAGUAUCCUGAGUAGCGCGGGACCGGAGGAAUCCUGCGUGAACCAGCCGGCACCAUCCGGUAAGGCUAAAUACUCCUUAGUGACCGAUAGUGAACCAGUACCGUAAGGGAAAGGUGAAAAGUACUCCGAACAGGAGAGUGAAAUAGUACCUGAAACCGUACGCUUACAAGCGGUCGGAGCCCUUUGGGGUGACGGCGUGCCUUUUGCAUAAUGAACCUACGAGUUGCUCCUCACUGGCGAGGUUAAGUUCUUCGAGUAACGGAGCCGCAGCGAAAGCGAGUCCGAACAGGGCGAAAAUAGUCAGUGGGGGCAGACGCGAAACUUUGUGAUCUAUCCAUGGGCAGGCUGAAGGUUAGGUAAAACUAACUGGAGGGCCGAACUCGUAAACGUUGAAAAGUUUUGAGAUGACCUGUGGAUAGGGGUGAAAGGCCAAUCAAACUGAGAGAUAGCUCGUUCUCCCCGAAAUGUUUUUAGGAACAGCGUCAUAU
Molecule: ribosomal RNA, 867 nt
Filed under: Methylococcales bacterium
Lineage: Bacteria; Pseudomonadati; Pseudomonadota; Gammaproteobacteria; Methylococcales
Description: 23S ribosomal RNA (partial)
Rfam family: Bacterial large subunit ribosomal RNA
Source: RNAcentral